GACGAACGCUGGCGGCGUGCUUAACACAUGCAAGUCGAACGGAAAGGCCCUGCUUUUGUGGGGUGCUCGAGUGGCGAACGGGUGAGUAGCACGUGAGUAACCUGCCCUUGACUUUGGGAUAACUUCAGGAAACUGGGGCUAAUACCGGAUAGGAGCUCCUGCUGCAUGGUGGGGGUUGGAAAGUUUCGGCGGUUGGGGAUGGACUCGCGGCUUAUCAGCUUGUUGGUGGGGUAGUGGCUUACCAAGGCUUUGACGGGUAGCCGGCCUGAGAGGGUGACCGGCCACAUUGGGACUGAGAUACGGCCCAGACUCCUACGGGAGGCAGCAGUGGGGAUUAUUGCACAAUGGGCGGAAGCCUGAUGCAGCAACGCCGCGUGCGGGAUGACGGCCUUCGGGUUGUAAACCGCUUUCGCCUGUGACGAAGCGUGAGUGACGGUAAUGGGUAAAGAAGCACCGGCUAACUACGUG
Molecule: ribosomal RNA, 468 nt
Filed under: uncultured bacterium
Lineage: Bacteria
Description: partial 16S ribosomal RNA
Rfam family: Bacterial small subunit ribosomal RNA
Source: RNAcentral